AAACGCCUCUGAAAAUGUUGUAUUUACCCUGACUAUAGCUCUGAGGCUUUUCCAAAAAACGCCUCUGAAAAUAAAAAAUGCACGCCUCUGAAAAUAAAAAUUGUAGUAGUGUUUUUGAAGCUGAAAGGUCACGCUGCACAUUGUUCAGCAAAGAGUUGGAACGUACUUCUACAAGGUAAUCAACCUUACAUGGGAAGGUCAUCCUCAACUCAGAGAUGUAGUUGAUGUUUAGUUCUUACUGCUUGGCCACUGUCAUUGUCAUUUUUUUAAUAUAUUUAACUACCAUGUUGUUUGGGCUGACUUUAAGACAAAACUGUUUAAAUUGCAGGGUGUCUUGUAUUGGCUCGGUUGGAUUUUCCUGUGGUAUAAUAGGUCAAGGAAUCGCCAAUAUGGUAAUAACUGCCAAGAGGUUAUGCCCAAUUGUUAUUAGUACUUUUGACCAUGAAACCUAGAAUAUUGUUUUACAAUUGAAUGGCUAAUUUUUUAAUUUCUUUUCAAUUCUAUUUCUUAUUGAAUACUUUUCAAAUACUAUAUUGUUUUGCAUACAUUUAUAUAUUCUUAUUGACUUAUUGAUAUCAUAUUUAUAUGUUUCUUCUCUCCCUCACUAAUGUUAAUUGUUAUUAUAUUAUUUGAUUUUAUCCCUUCUUGUGUGGUGAUGCUUAUUCCCUGUUCAGGAGCGUAAAAAAUUCAGAUGAAGAUAUUCAUGUUCCACCUCUUGGUAAAAGUGCUACGCUUUGGGAUAUGCUUUUGUACCCUUUUAAUCUUUUAUUAUCACCUUUACCUGGUCCGAGGUACAAUUUUUUACAUUUGCAAAUAGCUAAGUAUUGGUUUGAUGUAUAAUAAGACAUGUGGCAAUUAAAGUAUAGUAGGGCAUAUUUCAGUAUUGAAUAGCUGGCACUUUGCUGAUAUUAAAAAUAUUUUUGUUCAUCAUUCAUAUGACUAUCUUAGAAGCGGUCGCACCUACCCCGGCCGACCAGUACCGCCGCGUAAGGGAUGCUGGGUUCUCAUUCCCUUCUCAGACCUCCUCCUUCUCUUUGGUUUAUGCAGUGCUUCAUUGGUGCUCGCUUUGGUCUUCACCUCCGCUGCUAUCACCGUUACUCCAUUCUCAGUAUUCCAGGUCUACUUUUAUUUCUUUCAUGCCACAUGUACCUGAAUGGACUAGAGGGGUGAGGAAGAGGAGAUCGCGAGAGCAGAGACGGGGUCACAGACCUCAGAGCGAAGACGAGGGGCUGCUGGAUCGCGGGGUGAGGAAGAGGAGAGAGAUGGAGAGGAAGGAGAGAGAUCGAGAGACGGACCUCAAAUCGAAGAGGAGGGGCUUCAAAAUGCCCGGAUCACGGGGUGAGGAAGAGGAGAGAGAUGAGAGCAGAGACGGACCUCAGAUCUAAGAAGAGGGGCUUCGAAAUGCACGGAUCAUGGGGUGAGGAAGAGGAAAGAGAUC
This is an RNA transcript of Panicum virgatum (switchgrass), 1438 nucleotides long. RefSeq lists it as uncharacterized. NCBI's taxonomy places the organism in Eukaryota, Viridiplantae, Streptophyta, Magnoliopsida, Poales, Poaceae. The record is from RefSeq and is a predicted model, not a curated record. The transcript has 2 exons.